RNAcentral lists this non-coding RNA (30 nucleotides) under Homo sapiens (human). The record is from RNAcentral. Lineage: Eukaryota; Metazoa; Chordata; Mammalia; Primates; Hominidae.
UCCAAAGUCCACUGAAGAGGUCACUCCUCC